Molecule: non-coding RNA, 72 nt
Organism: Hysterangium stoloniferum
Lineage: Eukaryota; Fungi; Basidiomycota; Agaricomycetes; Hysterangiales; Hysterangiaceae
Source: the annotation of a GenBank genome assembly
GGUCAGGUGGUGUACUGGUAACAUCUUUGCUAUAUAUGUAGAAGACCCUGGGUUCAAUUUCCAGUCUGCCCA